UUUGGUGGCGAUAGCGAAGAGGUCACACCCGUUCCCAUGCCGAACACGGAAGUUAAGCUCUUCAGCGCCGAUGGUAGUCGGGGGGUUCCCCCUGUGAGAGUAGGACGCCGCCAAGC
This 116-nucleotide ribosomal RNA is filed under the name Bacillus amyloliquefaciens. RNAcentral also lists the same sequence under 21 other names. The record is from RNAcentral. Lineage: Bacteria; Bacillati; Bacillota; Bacilli; Caryophanales; Bacillaceae.